This 305-nucleotide ribosomal RNA is filed under the name uncultured bacterium. RNAcentral describes it as "bacterial SSU rRNA". It matches the Rfam family "Bacterial small subunit ribosomal RNA", at positions 335 to 637 of the family's 1533-position model. The record is from RNAcentral.
ACUCCUACGGGAGGCAGCAGUGAGGAAUAUUGGUCAAUGGCCGAGAGGCUGAACCAGCCAAGUCGCGUGAGGGAUGACGGCCCUGCGGGUUGUAAACCUCUUUUGUCGGGGAGCAAGACCCGCCUCGUGCAGGCGGAGCGAGAGUACCCGAAGAAAAAGCAUCGGCUAACUCCGUGCCAGCAGCCGCGGUAAUACGUAGGUGGCGAGCGUUAUCCGGAUUUAUUGGGUUUAAAGGGUGCGCAGGCGGGAGAUCAAGUCAGCGGUAAAAUGUCGGGGCUCAACCCCGGCCGGCCGUUGAAACUGGG